This 158-nucleotide unclassified non-coding RNA is filed under the name uncultured fungus. RNAcentral's name for it is "sequence contains ITS2". The record is from RNAcentral. Lineage: Eukaryota; Fungi.
UCACCCCUCAAGCCCGGCUUGCUGUUGGAUCACGUCCCCCGAUUCCGGGCGGGCUGGUCUCAAAGAUAAUGACGGCGUCUGUGAGGACUCCAAGUACACUGAGCUUUCGGGCACGUACUCGGCGAAUCCAGGCCCGGUCUUUAACCAUAUUUUACCAA